Molecule: non-coding RNA, 1273 nt
Filed under: Chlorocebus sabaeus (green monkey)
Lineage: Eukaryota; Metazoa; Chordata; Mammalia; Primates; Cercopithecidae
Source: Rfam by way of RNAcentral
AGACAAAUAGGUUUGGUCCUAGCCUUUCUAUUGACCCUUUGCAAGAUUACACAUGCAGGCAUCCCCGUCCCAGUGAAGACACCCUACAAAUCAUUAUGACCAAGAGGAGUAAGUAUCAAGCACGCACACGCAGCUCAAAACACUUUGCUUAGCCACACCCCCACGGGAAACAGCAGUGACAAACCUUUAGUAAUAAACGAAAGUUUAACUAAGCUAUGCUACACCAAGGGUUGGUCAAUUUCGUGCCAGCCACCGCGGCCAUACGAUUAACCCAAGCCAAUAGAGAUCGGCGUAGAGAGUGUUUUAGAUCUAAUACAAUAAAGCUAAACCCCAUCUAAACUGUAAAAUCCUAGCUAACAUAAAAUAAACUACGAAAGUGGCUUUAAAACCUCUGAAUACACAACAGCUAAGACCCAAACUGGGAUUAGAUACCCCACUGUGCUUAGCCUUAAACCUCAAUAGUUAAAACAACAAAACUACUCACCAGAAUACUACAAGCAACAGCUUGAAACUCAAAGGACUUGGCGGUGCUUCACAUCCCCCUAGAGGAGCCUGUUCCAUAAUCGAUAAACCCCGAUCCACCCCACCCUCUCUUGCUCAGCCUAUAUACCGCCAUCUUCAGCGAACCCUGAUGAAGGUUACAAAGUGAGCGCAAAUGCCCUUCCUCGCAAAAACGUUAGGUCAAGGUGUAGCCUAUGAGAUGGUGAAAAUGGGCUACAUUUCUUUUUUUUUUUUUUUGUAGAUGGAGUCUGGCUUUGUCUCCCAGGCUGGAGUGCAGUGGCCGGAUCUCAGCUCACUGCAAGCUCCGCCUCCCGGGUUUACGCCAUUCUCCUGCCUCAGCCUCCCGAGUAGCUGGGACUACAGGCGCCCGCCACCUCGCCCGGCUAGUUUUUUGUAUUUUUUUAGUAGAGACAGGGUUUCACCGUGUUCGCCAGGAUGGUCUCGAUCUUCUGACCUCGUGAUCCGCCCGUCUCGGCCUCCCAAAGUGCUGGGAUUACAGGCUUGAGCCACCACGCCCGGCAAUGGGCUACAUUUUCUAUCUCAGAAAACCCCACGAUAACUCUUAUGAAAUCUAAGAGUCCAAGGAGGAUUUAGCAGUAAAUUAAGAAUAGAGUGCUUAAUUGAACCAGGCCAUAAAGCACGCACACACCGCCCGUCACUCCCCUCAAAUAUACUUAAGGACCAUCUUAACUAAACACCCUAAUAUUUAUAUAGAGGGGAUAAGUCGUAACACCGUAAGUGUACUGGAAGGUGCACUUGGAUAAAUCAAGGU